RNAcentral lists this long non-coding RNA (5783 nucleotides) under Homo sapiens (human). RNAcentral's name for it is "non-protein coding LINC02470:18". The record is from RNAcentral. Lineage: Eukaryota; Metazoa; Chordata; Mammalia; Primates; Hominidae.
AGUCCACCUGCGCGGCUGAGUGGAGGAUGCUAGGUUGCUGUGCUGUUUCUCCUACUGUCUUGCUGCCGCACCACCCCUCAGAAAAACCGGGUCGUCAGUUUCCUGCGGUUUGCACUCACCAAAUAUACUUAGCAAUUUGCAAUUCACCCGCAGGAUUAUUCCAGCCUCUGUGAUCACACACAGAAGGAUGAGCCUUCCUCGUGAGGGUUGGAGAUGGAGGGAGAAGGGAUGGAGAGUAAGGAUGGGACGGAGGUUGUGGAGCAGCAGACCAACACGCCAGAAAGGAAAAUAAUGAUCAUCUCAAUUUUUAUAUGUGGAGGCAUUGCUUUUCUUCUUUGGGGGAUUUUAAGAUUUCCCAGAAAAUGUAAGUAAACAAUUUCUGCUAAAAUUAUUAAAUUAAAUUGUUAAAAUUAUUGUAUUAUUGAUUCAGUUGGAUACCAAUAACUAGUCUUUCCUUCCUUAAUAUAGAACAAUUUAGAGAUAAAAGCAUUUUCCAAGACAGUGCAUCUAAUUGCUCUUCAAACUUAGUCACCUGCUUCACCUUCUAGAAUAAUCAGUCUUUCAAUAAAUAUGUAUCAAGCUUUAGGCACAGUGCUGCCUGCUGAUGAUAUAACAAUGAAAAAAAAUGGUAUUUCUUGCCUGAAAGUAGUUUAUCUUUAACUGAAUAUGGAAGCAUGUAAGCAAACAACUGUAACACAAAAGAAAUAAUUACUAAAUAGAACUAUGUUGAAUUUGAAGCAGGAGAGGAGAUUAUAAGUUAGCUGCUUGUAGUCAAGGCUUUAAUGAAGGGAGAAAUAUUUGUGCUGAAUCUUAAACUCAAGUAGGCGUUUAUCAAAGAUCAUCUUAGAACACACAUGUCAGAGAAUCACACCAGGUAUAAUUAUGAUGGAGUUACAAAGAAGUAGGGUGAGGGACUGGCAAUUGUAUUAUAGUUCCCUAGUGCAUUAACUCUUUCACUGCCAUUCAUUAGCAAUUUAUACCUUGUCCUUCAUCUCCAUUCUCCUCAUGCUCAUUCUCAUGUCUAUACCCUUGCUUCCAACUUGUUCUAAUUUUAACAAUUUGUAGGAAACUUCCAAAUGCUCCCAUCACCACACCAGCUUACUUACUCCAUCUCUGCCCCUACACUCUGCCUAGACUCCUGGAACUGUAGAUGCAGUAUUCAUGUUCUACAAUAGAUCCUAUAUUCUUUCACUGGAUCAGUAAUAUCACCCUAGUAAUUCUCCACUCUCCUACAUUAUCCUUUUUUCAUCCUCAACUGAAACAUCUCCAUCAGCAAAUAUGACAUACUGGUAUCUAUAUCAACCUUGAAAAAAUAAACAACAAAAACAACAGAAUUUAUUAGACCCCACUUAUCUUUUAGCAACCAAUUUAUUGUUUUUCUCCUUGGUACAGCAACCUCUUUAAAACGGCUUUUCAAAAUAAUUUUUUAUCUUUCCUUUUUCUGUUAAAUCCACUUGGAUCAAGCUUCCACUCUGCUUUUUCCACCAAACUUGUCUUUCAAGUUCACCAAUAACUUCCAUAUUGCUAAAUCGACUGGUCCAUUCUCCCUCCUCACCUUAUUAUAUAACCUAUUUGCAGCUUUUGGCACUCCCUUUUUCUAAAAAAAAAAAAAAAUUUCAUUUGACUUACAUGACGCCAUAUUCUUGUGGUUUGCUUUCUACUCAUUUUACCAACAACCGUGAUUCCCUGAUUCUCCUUCACUCUGAUCUAUUUUACGACAAACUAUAUAAUUUCAGACGCAUAAGUCCCAUAAGAGUAGGUAUUUCUGUAUGUUAUGUAGGCUAUUCAUAGAGUUACAAAAAUGUCUGGCGUGUAGCAGGUGCUCAAUCGGUAGUUGUUGACUGCGUAAAUGAAAGAAUGAAUUAAUUAGUAAAUGAAUGAGAAAACUGCCUUUCUGGUGACCCAAGUUUUGAAUUAAGUAUUUGGUUUUUAUAUUGGUUAUUGAUUUGAAUUUGACAUUUUAAAAUAAUUUUGAACAUGACACAUUCAAAUAACUUUGAUAACUUGAUUUUUUCACUUCACUCUCAGGUCUCAACUAUAUAGAACCAUAUUGCCAGUUGAUCCUUCCCAUUGAGGAUUUUCCCACUCACAGAUUUGAAGAUGAACCAGUCAUUUAUUUUAGUUGUGGAUAGGAGGUGCUCUCAGAGCUUGUUUCUUUCAGGAUUAUACCUUAACAAGGAACUUCCUUUAUCUAGUGCAGUAACUUAAGGAGUAAAAGUGGAGAGUAAAAAGGGAAAUUUUAGCAUUCUUUUUUCUGUGUUUCUUGUUUCAUAACGGACAAGGAAACAGCGCCACCUUCUAGAGAAAUGCUGUCUUUGAAAGACAAUAUAGUCUCAGUUAAGUUGAUGAUAGGAACCAGCUCACUGAAGUUAUGAAUAUAGAAAAAUUUGUUUAUUUACACUGCAACUUGUUCUAGAGAGCAUAGUAAAUUUUAGGAAAGAAAUAGAUGAAUAAAGAAAAUUCAUGUAGUCUAAAAAUUAGGAGGGAAAAUGGCUGGAAGAUACUGAAUUUCUGGAAGUUUGUUAUUGAGUUUUUAAAUUUUUCAUAGCUCUCAUUCUCCAGUGCUUAUUCCUUUCAUGUUCUCUUCUCGAUAUUCAAUUUUUUUGAAUUGAUGUUUAAAGUUAAGUCAUUCAAAUUGAAUAUGUAAGUAAAACACAUUUUAUUAGUCUGAGCUAUAUAAUAAUAUUUUACUCUGAAGCUCACUCUUUCUUUCUUUGAUACUUUCUUUAUUCUUUUUCUCUAUUACCUGUUAAUUUCAGUUGGAAUUCCAAGGCACCUUAGAAACAAGACAUGCCUAGAAAAUUUGACUAUGUGUCCACAAGGCUGGAACUGAAUCAAUAAUAAUUGCUUCUUUCAAUCUGAACAUGAAACAACGUGGAUCAAUGGCUGAGAAAACUGCAGAAGUUAUGGAUCUCUGGCCAGGCUCAACUCUCAGAAUGAAAUGGGAAUCUUUGAUGCAUUAUCUGGGGCCGUCUUUAUAUUGGUUUGAACUGAGCAAGCACAAUGCAAACAAAACGUGGAUGUGGGCAGAUGGAGCUACAUUCAGCAAUUGGUAAGCCUUACUAACAUGUAUUUACUAUUAAAUGUGUAAAGCGUGGUAAAGAUUCUGAGUCUAUAACUGGCUUCCUCCAUAGAUUCCUCCACAUCAUCCCCCCAAAAGACCCUCAAAAAAUAGAUGCCAAAGAGAAUAUUUAGACAAAGUUACGGUUUUUAGUGAGGGUUUGGCAUCACAUAUCAAUAUUUAUGUAUAUAUAUGGAAUUGGUAUAUACCACAUGUGAGUCACAAGUGUUCCCUUUAUCCUGAACUGGAUGCAAGUCUAAGCAGUUUGAUCCUUUCCUCUUUGGACCUGGGACCUUGCCUUUUGUUUUUGUUUUUUUUGUUGUUGUUCCUUUGGCCUUUCAUUGAUGGGAGAGCAUUAGAGAGUGUACUGAAGCCUACACUUUCCGCACCCACCAGUGGCCUGACAUGCACAAGAGUAAGUUAAGAAGAGAACGUGUUUGCCUCAGUUUACCUUUGUUUAAAAUUCAAGAACUUCUUUAUAUUCCAUAGCUUGAAAAAACUCAUCAUACACUUAGAAUCUAUUUUGUUCUUAAAACACUUACAAAUUUCUCCAACGUCAGGGUGGAGAAGGUCAUAUAAAGGAUAUUGAGUUCUCAGUAUUCUUUGGUGAACUAAAGGUGACCACUAGCUACCAUUUAUUGACUGCCCACUUUGUAAUAGAUACUGGUUCUGUAGCACUCCAUGCCAGAUAUUACAUGUUGUAUAUAAUAUAAUAAAGUUAGUAGCGGAACUUUCUAAAGUUGAGAAAAUUCUCUUAUGAUUAUUGUAUUUACAUUCAAUUUGGGGUGAAAAUGCACAAUGAUUUGAGAGGGAUAAUAUACCCAAUAUUAUAUUUUAUCUUUGAAAAAUGUAAAAAAAAAAGACAGAUUAAACUUUCUGACUAUAAAACAUAAUAUUAUAUUUUCUUGAAAGAAAAUAUUAACAGCUUAAUGUGGCAUUACAUAUUAUAUACAGGCCCAUCAAAAAAUGAGACAGGAGUUAACAUUGGUGUAUUAAUUUGCUAAGUCUGCUGUAAUAAAUGCCACUGAAUGGGUGGCUCAAAGACAGCUCUGGGGGCCGUUAAGUCCAGGAUCAAGGUGUUAGUAGGGUUGGUUUCUUUUAAGGCCCUUCUCUUUGGCUUGCAGAUGGCUGUCUUCUCACUCUGUGUUCAUGUGGCCUUCUGUACACACUCAAGUCUGUGUCUAACUUAUUUCUUCUUAUAGGGACAUCAGUCAUAUUGGAUUAAGGUGCACCCUAAAGACCUUUUCUUACCUCAAUCACUUCUUUUUUAAAAAAAACAAAUACCUUAUCUCCAAAUCUGUUACAUUCUCAGGUACUGGGAGUUAGGCACUUAAUGUAUGAAAUUUGGGGGCCUAUAAUUCAGCCCAUAACGGUUGUUAUUAGUUGGCACUAUGGAUUGGAUAAGCAUAAAAAUACACAUAUAUUUUGGGAAUGGGCAGGAUAAAAAUUUGAAGUUACCCUAGAAGUUAGGAAAGUGUACACCAGUACUGUGAAGUUCCCCCAAAUAAUUACAGUAUAACCAGAAAUGUAUCAUGAUUAACCAUCCUGUUUUCCUCCGUUUUGAAUUUUGAAUUUCACAUGUUUAUAUGUAUGGCAUAAAAUAUAAAUGUAGGAAAUCUUUUCUUUAGAUUUUAUUUGUUUACUUAUGUGUAUCGUAAUCUAUUGAGUAAAGAAUACCUGUUUCACUACAGUGAUGGUGAUAAAGAGUGGCCAAAUGUGAACAUUUAUUUCAGCAUUAAUAGACCAAUUUUGUAAUAUAUGAAAGGUAUGUUCAAUGAAAUGUCAGUUACACUCCCCUUCUUUAUAAUUUCUAAAUGGCUAAACACAUUGAUAUAUCAAUGUUUAUGCUACAGUAUAAAGGGAAGAAUCCAAUCCCUCACAAAAUGAUUACAAUGUUUGCUAUAGUAUCAACAGCGUAAACUUCCAGGACUGUGUUGUUAGGCACUGAAGUCACAUAGUGUCCUUUUCUUCCUGCCAUCAGGGUCCUGAGGUAAAAUUUGGAGAAAGAUAGGAGGAGAGCAACAGCUUGUUUCACUUCCUCUACUCCUUCCACACUGCACGUGUUUUAGAAACCGGGCUAAUGAAAUUUACGUUCUAUUUUCGAGGCUGUGCUCAGUUAUUUCUCAGGAGGUCCAGUAAAUAAAGAAUUAAUCUAUUUGUUUUGUCUUUAGUCAAGUUAUGAAACUAGCGAAUUAUUUACAUUAAGUGGAUUUGUUGUUGCUGUCGUUGCUGAAACUAGUGAAAGAAUCGAGUUUUGUGCUAUGAGUCAUGGGAGCAAAACGUGAGUAUUUAGAAGUGGAGAGGACCACGAAGAAGGAAGCCCUGGUGACUUGAAGAAAUCAUGGAGAGUUCUCCGGAUUCCCACAAACCUAUGGGGUUUAGAUUCCAGCUAAUACUUACACGGGUCUCAGAAGGACAGAGGGCAAGGGUUAACAUCUGGCUGAUAUUAAAGUCUCUGCACCUCUUAAUAUUUUACUUUGGCCUAGUUUUCUUUUCUUCGCUUUUACAUUUCCUGAUAUAAUGAGUAAUUCUCUUUUGAGUAUUAACUUGUACCAUGAACUAUGCUAAAUAUUUUUACCCCUAAAUGAUGAAGAAUUUUUAUCAUUUUUUGCUGAAAUAAAUGAGCAAAUGAAAGAUUGUUUACCUGGGAUUAUAGUAAAUGGUAGAACCACAUUUUAAAUUCAGCUGGGUCUCACACACAUUACAGACAUUCAAACAAUGU